ACACAUGCAAGUCAAGGGGGCCCGCAAGGGCAACCGGCGAACGGGUGCGUAACACGUGAGCAACCUGCCUUUGAGAGGGGGAUAGCCGGCCCAACGGCCGGGUAAUACCGCAUACGUUCUUCUGGUGGCAUCACCGGGGGAAGAAACGCUUGACGGCUCAAAGAGGGGCUCGCGGCCUAUCAGCUAGUUGGUGCGGUCACGGCGCACCAAGGCGACGACGGGUAGCUGGUCUGAGAGGAUGGCCAGCCACAUUGGGACUGAGAAACGGCCCAGACUCCUACGGGAGGCAGCAGUGGGGAAUCUUGCGCAAUGGCCGAGAGGCUGACGCAGCGACGCCGCGUGGGGGAUGAAGCAUUUCGGUGUGUAAACCCCUGUUGCUCGGGACGAACGAUCCUUUUCGAGGGAUGUGACGGUACCGAGUGAGGAAGCACCGGCUAACUCCGUGCCAGCAGCCGCGGUAAUACGGAGGGUGCGAGCGUUGUCCGGAAUCACUGGGCGUAAAGGGCGCGUAGGUGGUUGGAUGCGCCGGUGGUGAAAGCGCAGGGCUCAACCCUGCGUCGGCCAUCGGGACGGUCCGACUGGAGCACUGUAGAGGCAGGUGGAAUUCCGGGUGUAGCGGUGGAAUGCGUAGAGAUCCGGAAGAACACCGGUGGCGAAGGCGGCCUGCUGGGCAGUUGCUGACACUGAGGCGCGACAGCGUGGGGAGCAAACAGGAUUAGAUACCCUGGUAGUCCACGCCGUAAACGAUGGGCACUAGGUGCUUGGGGGAGCGACCCCCUGAGUGCCGACGCUAACGCAUUAAGUGCCCCGCCUGGGGAGUACGACCGCAAGGUUGAAACUCAAAGGAAUUGACGG
This 855-nucleotide ribosomal RNA is filed under the name uncultured Gemmatimonadota bacterium. Its description in RNAcentral is "bacterial SSU rRNA". It matches the Rfam family "Bacterial small subunit ribosomal RNA", at positions 51 to 916 of the family's 1533-position model. Lineage: Bacteria; Pseudomonadati; Gemmatimonadota. The record is from RNAcentral.